Molecule: long non-coding RNA, 1597 nt
Filed under: Daucus carota (carrot)
Lineage: Eukaryota; Viridiplantae; Streptophyta; Magnoliopsida; Apiales; Apiaceae
Description: long non-coding RNA (DCAR_LNC007152)
Source: RNAcentral
AUGAGCCCUUGGAUAUGCUUCACUUCAUGUGGCCUAUCAAGUUAUGUCAGCACACAGCAACAUUCAAGCAGAGGAGACACUGGGGCAGUGCAUAAAUCUGAGGCAUUACAAAGGGCAGAAUCUGCACAUGCAACUAUUCCAAAAGAAAUGCUGAGUAGUGCAGGGUAUUCUCAGUUUGAUUACAGCAUGGAGGAAGUUGAGAACAUUGAAUAAGAAGGAACUGUCUCAGAGGUGCCUAGCUGGGUGUAUGAUCUAAAUUAUUCUACUUGCGACUCUCAAAGAGAAAUCCUCACCCAGUACAAGAAGGCUAUGGCAUGGGAUGAUGAUGAAGCUCCCACCAAGAGGCGGCUGGUUUCAUUUUAUACGGAUAAUCUGAGACUUCAUAAGUUCCACUUGGCACUUUAAGUAGACUCCACAUGCUGCAUCAGGCUCCAGUGAGCCCUACUUAGGGAUGCGUUGAUGCCUGUCAAAGAAACAGAAGAAUCGUGGAAUCAGUUGAGUUUCUGAACUAUUACACGUACUAGAAAUGUAUUAGUUUGUUGAUGAUUGUUCUUGUUGUGGUAUUAUUCUUUGUAUCCUGCUGUGCAGAAUGAGAAUAGUUGUUCAUCUAUCGAGACAAAUAAGAUCCGGUAAGUGUACAAGUGUCAGGGUACUAGACUUGUCAAAUGCCAGAGUUUGAGAAUUCUUGAUGCAGCUAUCAGAAAGCAGAAGGGAACCGGAAGAUUAGAUUAACUGACCUAAAAUGUUGUGGGAGUAUUAGAACAGAAGAUUGCUUUGAACAAUGUGAUGAGAAAUAUAAAACGCGGCAAACUCUUGCCACCAAUGGUCUGAAACCAAAGAUACAGAUGUCAGUACCACAUUCAGAGAAGGGAACCAAUCUGAUCUUCCCGAUCCAUUAGUGUAAAACCUACUACCAUCGAUAUUCAAAAUAGUAAGUGGGAGGAAAAGCGAAUAGGUUUUUCACUAAUACAGAGAUCAAUGAAUUUUACAAAGACAAUGUGGACUACAAAUCAGUUUCAGAGGCACUUGUUUGUAAAAUAGUAGUGUCUGCCGAAGAAAUCACCCAUCCAGACAGAAUUUUACUACGAAUACUCUUCAACAGAGGUCCACCAAGAAGACCAACAAAGUACAAGAGAUCAAGCUGUCAAAAUUCAAACCCUCUUUGCUUGUCAACCACGGGGAAUUUUAUCUGCUGGAACUUUGUUCAGAAUGAAAAUCAAUCUUCUCAUCUGACAAAGAGAAUCACACUUCAAAGGUCCUCCAUAAAUCUAAAUUAGUGCGACCUGUCUUUACAGAAUCCAGCAAGAUUGAAUGUAGAACCAGCAACAAAAGUAAAUAAGCAGGAUUCCUUUAAGAUGUCUGCUCUCCAACUCUCCGAGCAAGGGCUGCAGCAAUGACAACACUAGUACACACAGAAACUCUGGCAAAUACGGUCAACCAAAAGAUAAGCUCAAUUAUGCUUACAUGCUAGUUCUGUAAAAUUCAACUUGAUUUAGCUUUGAAACUCCCUUUAGAGUUUUCUCUUGGAGUUCUGCACAUGCCUCUUUGUAUACUACAGAACACUGUUGUAGGAGACAGUAAGCCAUUAAUUAGCAGA